RNAcentral lists this ribosomal RNA (407 nucleotides) under uncultured bacterium. RNAcentral describes it as "partial 16S ribosomal RNA". It matches the Rfam family "Bacterial small subunit ribosomal RNA", at positions 30 to 526 of the family's 1533-position model. The record is from RNAcentral.
AUUGAACGCUGGCGGCAGGCUUAACACAUGCAAGUCGAGCGGAGUGGCGAACGGGUGAGUAAUGUAUCGGAACGUGCCCAGUAGCGGGGGAUAACUACGCGAAAGCGUAGCUAAUACCGCAUACUAUUGGAGCGGCCGAUGUCGGAUUAGCUAGUUGGUGGGGUAACGGCCCACCAAGGCGACGAGCCGUAACUGGUCUUAGAGGACGAGCAGUCACACUGGGACUGAGACACGGACCAGACUCCUACGGGAGGCAGCAGUGGGGAAUUUUGGACAAUGGGCGAAACCCUGAUCCAGCCAUCCCGCGUGUGGGAUGAAGGUCUUCGGGUUGUAAAGCACUUUUAGCAGGGAAGCGUUACCUGCAGAAUAAGCACCGGCUAACUACGUGCCAGCAGCCGCGGUAAUUC